AGCUCAAUGGUUGGAGCCGUCCGCUCAUAACCGAUUACUGCAGGUUCGAAUCCUGCCGGGCCCA
Molecule: transfer RNA, 64 nt
Filed under: Ensifer sp. ENS03
Lineage: Bacteria; Pseudomonadati; Pseudomonadota; Alphaproteobacteria; Hyphomicrobiales; Rhizobiaceae
Also listed under: 1 other name
Description: tRNA-Met
Rfam family: tRNA
About the family: Transfer RNA (tRNA) molecules are approximately 80 nucleotides in length. Their secondary structure includes four short double-helical elements and three loops (D, anti-codon, and T loops).
Source: RNAcentral